This is a non-coding RNA of Mycena leptocephala, 92 nucleotides long. NCBI's taxonomy places the organism in Eukaryota, Fungi, Basidiomycota, Agaricomycetes, Agaricales, Mycenaceae. The record is from the annotation of a GenBank genome assembly.
GUGGGUGUGGUGUAUGGUACACAGCUGUCAUGAUUGCACAUGUAACAAAUCAAUUGAUGUAGCAGACUUGGGUUCGAAUCCCGGCACCCGCA